This 443-nucleotide ribosomal RNA is filed under the name uncultured bacterium. Its description in RNAcentral is "partial 16S ribosomal RNA". It matches the Rfam family "Bacterial small subunit ribosomal RNA", at positions 338 to 795 of the family's 1533-position model. The record is from RNAcentral.
CCUCCGGGUGGCAGCAGUGGGGAAUAUUGGGCAAUGGGCGCAAGCCUGACCCAGCAACGCCGCGUGAAGGAAGAAGGCCUUCGGGUUGUACACUUCUUUUGUCAGGGAAGAAGAAAGUGACGGUACCUGACGAAUAAGCCACGGCUAACUACGUGCCAGCAGCCGCGGUAAUACGUAGGUGGCAAGCGUUAUCCGGAUUUACUGGGUGUAAAGGGCGUGUAGGCGGGAGAGCAAGUCAGACGUGAAAUUCCAGGGCUCAACCUUGGAACUGCGUUUGAAACUGUUCUUCUUGAGUGAUGGAGAGGCAGGCGGAAUUCCGGGUGUAGCGGUGAAAUGCGUAGAUAUACGGAGGAACACCAGUGGCGAAGGCGGCCUGCUGGACAUUAACUGACGCUGAGGCGCGAAAGCGUGGGGAGCAAACAGGAUUAGAUACCCGAGUAGUC